GCCCGGGUGGCGAAAUUGGUAGACGCAACGGACUUAAAAUCCGUCGGUAGAAAUACCGUGCCGGUUCAAGUCCGGCCCCGGGCACCA
RNAcentral lists this transfer RNA (87 nucleotides) under Arenicella sp. RNAcentral's name for it is "tRNA-Leu". It matches the Rfam family "tRNA". Rfam says of the family: Transfer RNA (tRNA) molecules are approximately 80 nucleotides in length. Their secondary structure includes four short double-helical elements and three loops (D, anti-codon, and T loops). The record is from RNAcentral. RNAcentral also lists the same sequence under 1 other name. Lineage: Bacteria; Pseudomonadati; Pseudomonadota; Gammaproteobacteria; Arenicellales; Arenicellaceae.